GUAAAUAUAGCUUAAUAAGACCAUUAGAUUGUGAAUCUAACAAUAAAAGCUCAAACCUUUUUAUUUACC
RNAcentral lists this transfer RNA (69 nucleotides) under Mustela eversmannii (steppe polecat). RNAcentral's name for it is "tRNA-His". It matches the Rfam family "tRNA". From Rfam's summary of the family: Transfer RNA (tRNA) molecules are approximately 80 nucleotides in length. Their secondary structure includes four short double-helical elements and three loops (D, anti-codon, and T loops). The record is from RNAcentral. Lineage: Eukaryota; Metazoa; Chordata; Mammalia; Carnivora; Mustelidae.